This 250-nucleotide ribosomal RNA is filed under the name uncultured prokaryote. Its description in RNAcentral is "partial 16S ribosomal RNA". It matches the Rfam family "Bacterial small subunit ribosomal RNA", at positions 524 to 773 of the family's 1533-position model. The record is from RNAcentral.
UACGUAGGGAGCAAGCGUUAUCCGGAAUUAUUGGGUGUAAAGGGUGCGUAGACGGGAGAGCAAGUUGGUUGUGAAAUCCCCAGGCUUAACUUGGGAACUGCAACUGAAACUACUUUUCUUGAGUGCAGGAGAGGAAAGCGGAAUUCCUAGUGUAGCGGUGAAAUGCGUAGAUAUUAGGAGGAACACCGGUGGCGAAGGCGGCUUUCUGGACUGUAACUGACGUUGAGGCACGAAAGUGUGGGGAGCAAAC